This 253-nucleotide ribosomal RNA is filed under the name uncultured bacterium. RNAcentral's name for it is "partial 16S ribosomal RNA". It matches the Rfam family "Bacterial small subunit ribosomal RNA", at positions 526 to 779 of the family's 1533-position model. The record is from RNAcentral.
CGGAAGGUCCAGGCGUUAUCCGGAUUUAUUGGGUUUAAAGGGAGCGUAGGCGGAUUGUUAAGUCAGCGGUUAAAGGGUGUGGCUCAACCAUGCAUUGCCGUUGAAACUGGCGAUCUUGAGUGCAGACAGGGAUGCCGGAAUUCGUGGUGUAGCGGUGAAAUGCUUAGAUAUCACGAAGAACUCCGAUCGCGAAGGCAGGUGUCCGGGCUGCAACUGACGCUGAGGCUCGAAAGUGUGGGUAUCAAACAGGAUU